GACAUAAACAAACCUUCGGGGGCGUUUAUGGGCGGCGAGCGGCGGACGGGUGAGUAAUGCCUGGGAAAUUGCCCUGAUGUGGGGGAUAACCAUUGGAAACGAUGGCUAAUACCGCAUGAUAGCUUCGGCUCAAAGAGGGGGACCUUCGGGCCUCUCGCGUCAGGAUAUGCCCAGGUGGGAUUAGCUAGUUGGUGAGGUAAGGGCUCACCAAGGCGACGAUCCCUAGCUGGUCUGAGAGGAUGAUCAGCCACACUGGAACUGAGACACGGUCCAGACUCCUACGGGAGGCAGCAGUGGGGAAUAUUGCACAAUGGGCGCAAGCCUGAUGCAGCCAUGCCGCGUGUGUGAAGAAGGCCUUCGGGUUGUAAAGCACUUUCAGCAGUGAGGAAGGUAGUGUAUUUAAUAGAUGCAUUAUUUGACGUUAGCUGCAGAAGAAGCACCGGCUAACUCCGUGCCAGCAGCCGCGGUAAUACGGAGGGUGCGAGCGUUAAUCGGAAUUACUGGGCGUAAAGCGCAUGCAGGUGGUUGGUUAAGUCAGAUGUGAAAGCCCAGGGCUCAACCUUGGAAUCGCAUUUGAAACUGGCUGACUAGAGUACUGUAGAGGGGGGUAGAAUUUCAGGUGUAGCGGUGAAAUGCGUAGAGAUCUGAAGGAAUA
RNAcentral lists this ribosomal RNA (655 nucleotides) under Moritella marina. RNAcentral describes it as "bacterial SSU rRNA". It matches the Rfam family "Bacterial small subunit ribosomal RNA", at positions 50 to 708 of the family's 1533-position model. Lineage: Bacteria; Pseudomonadati; Pseudomonadota; Gammaproteobacteria; Alteromonadales; Moritellaceae. The record is from RNAcentral.